GUGAUGAGACGGCCGUGACUGGAAAAGUGAAGAGGUGUUUCUAAGCUGA
RNAcentral lists this small nucleolar RNA (49 nucleotides) under Pyrobaculum neutrophilum V24Sta. RNAcentral describes it as "PNEsR02". Lineage: Archaea; Thermoproteati; Thermoproteota; Thermoprotei; Thermoproteales; Thermoproteaceae. The record is from RNAcentral.